Molecule: ribosomal RNA, 482 nt
Filed under: uncultured bacterium
Lineage: Bacteria
Description: bacterial SSU rRNA
Rfam family: Bacterial small subunit ribosomal RNA
Source: RNAcentral
GAUGAACGCUAGCGGCAGGCUUAAUACAUGCAAGUCGAACGGGAUUUAGGAGCUUGCUUCUAAUGAGAGUGGCGCACGGGUGAGUAACACGUACACAAUCUACCUUGUACAGGGGGAUAGCCUUGGGAAACUGAGAAUAAUACCCCAUAGUUUAAUUAUCGCAUGAUAGAUUAAAUAAAGCUGAGGCGGUACAAGAUGAGUGUGCGUUUGAUUAGCUAGUUGGUAGGGUAACGGCCUACCAAGGCGACGAUCAAUAGCUGGCGUGAGAGCGCGACCAGCCACACUGGAACUGAGACACGGUCCAGACUCCUACGGGAGGCAGCAGUAGGGAAUAUUGGACAAUGGGCGCAAGCCUGAUCCAGCCAUGCCGCGUGAUAGAUGAAGGCCCUCUGGGUUGUAAAUAUCUUUUAUCUGGGAAGAAACUCCUCUAUUCUUAGAGGCCUGACGGUACCAGAGGAAUAAGCACCGGCUAACUCCGUGCC